Cynara cardunculus var. scolymus (artichoke) is the source of this 213-nucleotide long non-coding RNA. RefSeq lists it as uncharacterized. The transcript has 3 exons. The record is from RefSeq and is a predicted model, not a curated record. Lineage: Eukaryota; Viridiplantae; Streptophyta; Magnoliopsida; Asterales; Asteraceae.
CAUUGGAAUUGAAAUACCAGAAACUGUACGAGCCAUUGUAUUCAAAGAGAUAUGAUAUAGUGAAUGGUGUUGUUGAAGUUGGAGAGAAGGAUGAAGCUGCGACAGACCAGACACAUAGUGAUGCUAUUAGGGGUCGUUUACCUAAACACUUACCUGAAAAGGGUGUCCCUGAUUUUUGGCUAACUGCAAUAAAGACCCAUGAAAUAUUGGCAG